GAUGAACGCUGGCGGCGUGCCUAAUACAUGCAAGUCGAGCGAACGGACGAGAAUCUUGCUUCUCUGAUGUUAGCGGCGGACGGGUGAGUAACACGUGGAUAACCUACCUAUAAGACUGGGAUAACUUCGGGAAACCGGAGCUAAUACCGGAUAAUAUUUUGAACCGCAUGAUUCAAUAGUGAAAUACGUUCUUUCUGUCACUUAUAGAUGGAUCCGCGCUGCAUUAGCUAGUUGGUAAGGUAACGGCUUACCAAGGCAACGAUGCAUAGCCGACCUGAGAGGGUGAUCGGCAAAACGGGAACUGAGACAGGGUCCAGACGACUACGGGAGGCAGCAGUAGGGAAUCUUACGCAAUGGGCGAAAGCAUGACGGAGCAAAGCCGCGUGAGUGAUGAAGGGCUUCGGAUCGUAAAACUCUGUUAGUAGGGAAGAACAAAUGUGUAAGUAACUGUGCACAUAGUGACGGUAACUAAUAAGAAAGCCACGGCUAACUACGUG
This 497-nucleotide ribosomal RNA is filed under the name uncultured bacterium. Its description in RNAcentral is "partial 16S ribosomal RNA". It matches the Rfam family "Bacterial small subunit ribosomal RNA", at positions 28 to 507 of the family's 1533-position model. The record is from RNAcentral.